AUAAAAAUGAAAAUUAUUUUUUUUUUUUGUCUUUUUUCUCGUAAAAUUUUCAACUACAUGAAAAGUCAAGGGGCGUUAAGGGGCUAAAUAAUUUGGUCAUCAGUGCUUUCGCGUAUUUGGUAGCGCAUAGUGUAUAUUCCAAGCGCUCAGGUUACUGUUCCACUUUUUUUUUCUUAUUUCGUGUAUAUAAAAGUUAAAAACCCAAAUUCAACAUGGAUGCCAUUAAGAAGAAAAUGCAAGCUAUGAAGCUUGAAAAAGAUAAUGCCGUUGAUAAAGCCGAUGCAUGUGAAGCUCAAGCUAGAGAUGCAAAUGCACGUGCUGAUAAAAUCAAUGAAGAAGUAUCUGAUUUGGGUAAAAAAUUAGUUCAAGUUGAAGCUGAUUUAGUUUCAUCUAAAGAGCAAUUGGAAAAUUCCAAUAAAGAAUUGGAAGAAAAAGAAAAAUUAUUAACUGCUACAGAAUCUGAGGUAGCAACAUUAAAUCGUAAAGUCCAACAAAUUGAAGAAGAUUUAGAAAAAUCUGAAGAACGUUCUGGUACAGCUACACAAAAAUUAUUGGAAGCUACACAAGCUGCUGAUGAAAAUAACCGUAUGUGUAAAGUACUCGAAAAUCGUUCACAACAAGAUGAAGAACGUAUGGAACAAUUGUCAAAUCAAUUAAAGGAAGCACGUAUGUUAGCUGAAGAUGCUGAUUCAAAAUCUGAUGAAGUAUCACGUAAAUUGGCCUUCGUUGAAGAUGAACUUGAAGUAGCUGAAGAUCGUGUAAGAUCCGGUGAAGCAAAGAUCAUGGAACUUGAAGAAGAAUUGAAAGUUGUAGGUAACUCUCUUAAAUCUUUGGAAGUUUCAGAAGAAAAGGCCAACCAAAGAGUAGAAGAAUUCAAACGUGAAAUGAAGACAUUGACUGUUAAAUUGAAGGAAGCUGAAACUCGUGCCGAACACGCUGAAAAACAAGUCAAGAGGCUUCAAAAGGAGGUCGACAGGCUAGAAGACCGUUUGUUCCACGAAAAAGAAAAAUACAAAGCAAUCUGCGACGAUUUGGAUUCAACAUUUGCCGAACUUACAGGAUAUUAAAAACUUUCAGUAUAUAUAUAUAUAUAUAUAUAUAUAUAUGUACUUGUAUAUAUGUAUAUAUAUACAUAAUAAUUACAACAUCCCUUAAUUCACCCAUAUACACAUAUAUAUAAAUAUAUACAUAUAUAUAUAUAUAUGUUUAUAUUUAUUUUCUAAAUUAAAUUUCUUUAUCUCGGACGUAUUAUAUGAAAAAAAAAAAGAAAAAACCAAAAUAAUAAAAAUGAAAUUAUUUAAAUUUUUUUAUUGUAAAUCUCAUAUUAAAAAUUAUUGAUGUUUUUAUCAAUUUUAAAACAUAACCACACACACACACACACAAUUAUACAAAAACACUAUACUACCCAAAACAAUCUCUUUCAUAUACAUUUAACCUGCAAUAUCACUUUACAUACUAUAUUCUUACAUUAUAAAUAGUUCACUAAUAUUAUAUAGCGGUUAUAUUAUAUAAUAUUAGUAGAAUUAAGAUAAUUUCGAAUUAUAUAUUUUCUUUAUUUUUAAUAAAAUAGCGAUUAUAUUUAUAUUAUUUUUUUUCUUUUUAAAUUAUUAAAUUUUUCAAUUUAAAUUAUAUAUAUAUAUAAUAUACAUACAUAGUUUGCGUGUUGUUGUGUGUAAAUUUUUUUUCGAAUUUAUUUUAAUUGCAAUAAAAAAAAAAUAUUUUUUAUCAGAUCAAAAAUAAUUUUUAUAUAUAGGAAAAAUAAAACACUUAUUUACAAAAAAAAUUGUCACCUAAAAUUCGUUUUGAGAAUUUUUGACCAUUUUAUUUUUGUCAACAUUUUUAUAAUAUCAUUUAUAAUUCUCUUUUCUUUCAAUAUAUACCCGUAUAUAACAUCAUUAUAAUUUAAAAUAAUAAGGUAUAUAGAAAAUAUAUACAUUUUUUUCAAUUAAAAAACCAAACAAUCAAUUUUGUAAAUAUUUAUCAUUAAUUAAAAACUAUUUAAUUAAAACAAAAAAAUAAAUUAUUAAUUGUUAAAACAUUAAUAAAGAAAAGAAAACGUAGCUAAAUAAAAAUCACUCAAAAUAUUUCGUAAAUCUUAUUCUAUAUCGUUAUUGUUCAUAAAAUCAAAAAUUUAUAUAAGUAAUUUAUUAUUAAUAUCAAAUUAAGUCCCUUAUACAGUAAAAUUUUACAUAUAUAUAUAAAAAAUAAGAAAGUUUUUUUUCUUCCUGCGUUCUAUUUAUAUAUUUACACAUAUAUAUUUUUACAGAUAUACAUAUGAAAAUAUAUGUAUUAAAUAUUGUGUUUUUUUAAUUUGUUUCAAAUAUUAAAAAUUAAUAUUACUUGGAAUCAUGAUAUAUAUAUAUAUUUAUACGUAUAUAUAUAUUUUGUCAAUUUAUUAUUCUUUAUUUCUUAUUUACAAAUAUUAAAAAAAAUCAUUUUGUGUAUAAUAUUACUCCUAUAUAUAUAAUAUACAUAUUAAAUUAAUAUAAAUUAUAAUUAAUUGUUAAAUUAUUGUUUUCAUUUUUUUUUUACCUAAUUUAUUAAUAUUUUUUAUUGACAUUAUUAAUUUAUUAUUAAUAAAUUAUAUAUAUUUUAUAGGCCAAAAUAUUACUUUUUUUUUCAUUUUAUACACAAAUAUACAAAUACAUAUACAUGUACAUAUACAUAUACAUACAUAUAUCAUUAAUAACUUUUUUUAAUAUAUAAAAAUAUUAUAACAAUUAAAAUUAAAAAAUAUACAUUAAAUGCUUAACAAAACAAUUAUUAAUAACAUCAAUAAAAUGUAUAAUUGUAUAUUAAAUAAAACUAAAAAAAAACAACUAUUAUGUGAUGUAUAUUAAAAAAAAAAACAAACGAACAAGAAUUUUUUUUUUAUUUUUUAUAAAAAAAAUGCCUUCGCUUCGCUAAAAUUAAUUUAUAUAAAAAAUAUCUAAUUAAAAAAAAUAUACAUAUAAUAAAAAUGUAAUAUAAUUAAAUUAAUAUUAUGAACAACGCCGCCUAUUUUGAGUAUAUAUAAACUACUAAUACAGCUUUAAUAAAUUAUAUACUACUUAUAUAUAAUAUUUACUGGCCGAUAAAACAUAAUAUUUUUUUUUGGAAAAGACGAAUUGGGCAUCAACAAAGACAGAUACAAGAGUCUUGCCGACGAAAUGGAUUCCACAUUUGCCGAAUUGGCCGGUUAUUAGAAGAAAACAAGGAACAACAAAAAAUUCGUUUAUUCUUUUAUCAGAUAUGUAUAUAUAUAUAUAUAUAUAUGUAUCUAUAUAUAUAUGUAUGAAUAUAUACAAUAAAAUAUUAAAUAAUUAAUAUAGAACAUCUAAUAUUUGUAUUACAUGUAUAUAUGUAUAUACAUAUAUAUAUAUAUUAUAUAUAUGCGAAUAUAUAUAUAUAUCAGCAGUUUUAUACUUCAUAUAUAUGAAAAAUCAAAUAAAAGGAAAAAAUUAA
Condylostylus longicornis is the source of this 3444-nucleotide RNA transcript. It is a transcript of the gene named tropomyosin-2, with no coding region annotated. The record is from RefSeq and is a predicted model, not a curated record. The transcript has 5 exons. Lineage: Eukaryota; Metazoa; Arthropoda; Insecta; Diptera; Dolichopodidae.